GCCCCAGGAUCGCUUGUUUUUAUAAAGGGACGUAACACAACUACUAACCGUGUUUUGAAAAAAGUCUGGAAUACUAACGAAAUAAGGAAUAUAAACCAUAUCCAUGCAGUUGCUUUUAACCAAUAAUAAUCCUCGAAAUGUAUAGGAGGUAAGAUAAUGUCGUAUAUCGAUCUUCCAUUACUUUCAUUCUAUACAUUUAAUCAAAAGCAUAAAUAAAAAG
RNAcentral lists this long non-coding RNA (220 nucleotides) under Mytilus galloprovincialis (Mediterranean mussel). The record is from RNAcentral. Lineage: Eukaryota; Metazoa; Mollusca; Bivalvia; Mytilida; Mytilidae.